Chelonoidis abingdonii (Abingdon island giant tortoise) is the source of this 305-nucleotide long non-coding RNA. RefSeq lists it as uncharacterized. The record is from RefSeq and is a predicted model, not a curated record. NCBI's taxonomy places the organism in Eukaryota, Metazoa, Chordata, Testudines, Testudinidae.
AGAUAAUUGAACGUUGACAAUCAGACUGAGGAAUUACAUCUAUAAGUCACCUAAAUGUAAAUACCUCACCCUGCAGUCAGUCUUUCAGGGAACCUGCUGGAAAGGAUAUUGGGCUUAUUACCACAGUAAGUUAUCAGUUCCAAGAGCUGGAGCAUAUGAACAGGCAUAACCAGAGAUGUGACAUAAUUCGUUUGAAAGAUAUUUUGAUGACAUGCUCCUCCUUUGAACAACUGACACACAUACAUGGAUAUACUCAGUGACCCUCUAUCUGGAAUUGGAAACUCAGAGAGAUACUCUUGCUUGUG